This 292-nucleotide ribosomal RNA is filed under the name uncultured bacterium. RNAcentral's name for it is "partial 16S ribosomal RNA". It matches the Rfam family "Bacterial small subunit ribosomal RNA", at positions 505 to 796 of the family's 1533-position model. The record is from RNAcentral.
GUGCCAGCAGCCGCGGUAAGACAGAGGCGGCAAGCGUUGUUCGGAAUCACUGGGCAUAAAGGGCGCGUAGGUGGUCAUGUAGGUUAGGGGUGAAAUCCCCGGGCUCAACCCGGGAAACGCCUCUAAAACCACAUGGCUUGAGCGGAACAGGGGAGAGUGGAACUCGUGGUGGAGCGGUGAAAUGCGUAGAUAUCACGAGGAACGCCGGCGGUGAAGACGACUCUCUGGGUUCCUGCUGACACUGAGGCGCGAAAGCUGGGGGAGCAAACGGGAUUAGAUACCCUGGUAGUCC